CCUAUCAACUUUCGAUGCCACUUUCUGCACCUACCCUGGUGACCAUGGGUAAUGGGGAAUCAGGGUUCGAUUCCA
Molecule: ribosomal RNA, 75 nt
Filed under: Pelobates cultripes (western spadefoot toad)
Lineage: Eukaryota; Metazoa; Chordata; Amphibia; Anura; Pelobatidae
Description: SSU_rRNA_eukarya
Source: RNAcentral